This is a long non-coding RNA of Sarcophilus harrisii (Tasmanian devil), 225 nucleotides long. RefSeq lists it as uncharacterized. The transcript is spliced from 3 exons. Lineage: Eukaryota; Metazoa; Chordata; Mammalia; Dasyuromorphia; Dasyuridae. The record is from RefSeq and is a predicted model, not a curated record.
AGAAGUCAAGAAGGACAAGGCCUAAGAAAAGGACAUUACAUUUGACAGACAUUUGGUUACUUUGAUAGAAGCCUUGCUGGAGCUAACACCUGGUGAAUCUGGAGAAAUAACUAAACACAUUUUGGAAAUGGGAAAAAAAGAAGAACCAAAGAAAGAGACCCAAAAAGAAUUGGGAGACUCAAUAGGACACAAAGUCCUACCUACAUCUAAGGCUGCUGAAGGUGA